GAGGAACGAUAAUAUUGCAUCAUCCUUUGGAAUCAAUAAUUAUAGGGCAAGAAAUGAGUUUAAAAGGAUUGUUCUGAGCAAGCUAACUGAAAUAGAAAGGAAGCUUGAUGAAAGAAAUAAUAGGGAUAGACAAAAUGAAGAAAAUGCAGAUCCUGUAGAAAUAAGCUUUUCUGAAAAUUCUUCUGAAGAAAGUGAGGAUGAGGAAACUGAAGGGGAAGAGACUGAAGGCAGUGAAAGUGAUAUGACCCUUCAGCGCUUUGUUAAUAAUAAGCAAAAGAAAACUUAAAUACAUUCUCAAAAAUCCUUUAUAGUUAUUUUUUUUUUGUAUGGCUUAGAAAGCCAUCUUU
This 347-nucleotide long non-coding RNA is filed under the name Vigna radiata. RNAcentral describes it as "long non-coding RNA (VRAD_LNC000470)". The record is from RNAcentral. Lineage: Eukaryota; Viridiplantae; Streptophyta; Magnoliopsida; Fabales; Fabaceae.